Non-coding RNA from Fomes fomentarius, 83 nucleotides. The record is from the annotation of a GenBank genome assembly. NCBI's taxonomy places the organism in Eukaryota, Fungi, Basidiomycota, Agaricomycetes, Polyporales, Polyporaceae.
GGGCACAUGGUGUAGUUGGUUAUCACAUCCGCUUAGCAUCAGUGCGUCUGCGGGGGUGCUGGGUUCAAUUCCCAGUGUGUCCA